GAUGAACGCUAGCUACAGGCUUAACACAUGCAAGUCGAGGGGAAACGGCAUUUAGUGCUUGCACCGAAUGGACGUCGACCGGCGCACGGGUGAGUAACGCGUAUCCAACCUACCCAUUACUGUGGGAUAACCUGCCGAAAGGCAGACUAAUACCGCAUAGUCUUCGAUGACGGCAUCAGAUUUGAAGUAAAGAUUUAUCGGUAAUGGAUGGGGAUGCGUCUGAUUAGCUUGUUGGCGGGGUAACGGCCCACCAAGGCAACGAUCAGUAGGGGUUCUGAGAGGAAGGUCCCCCACAUUGGAACUGAGACACGGUCCAAACUCCUACGGGAGGCAGCAGUGAGGAAUAUUGGUCAAUGGACGGAAGUCUGAACCAGCCAAGUAGCGUGCAGGAAGACGGCCCUAUGGGUUGUAAACUGCUUUUGUAUGGGGAUAAAGUCAAUCACGUGUGAUUGUUUGCAGGUACCAUACGAAUAAGGACCGGCUAAUUCCGUGCCAGCAGCCGCGGUAAUACGGAAGGUUCGGGCGUUAUCCGGAUUUAUUGGGUUUAAAGGGAGCGUAGGCCGGAGAUUAAGUGUGUUGUGAAAUGUAGACGCUCAACGUCUGACUUGCAGCGCAUACUGGUUUCCUUGAGUACGCACAACGUUGGCGGAAUUCGUCGUGUAGCGGUGAAAUGCUUAGAUAUGACGAAGAACUCCGAUUGCGAAGGCAGCUGACGGGAGCGCAACUGACGCUGAAGCUCGAAGGUGCGGGUAUCGAACAGG
RNAcentral lists this ribosomal RNA (761 nucleotides) under Prevotella melaninogenica. RNAcentral's name for it is "bacterial SSU rRNA". It matches the Rfam family "Bacterial small subunit ribosomal RNA", at positions 28 to 776 of the family's 1533-position model. The record is from RNAcentral. Lineage: Bacteria; Pseudomonadati; Bacteroidota; Bacteroidia; Bacteroidales; Prevotellaceae.